GAAGCCCCGACAGAUAAAGCAUUGCUGAGACCUUAGGGAUUGAAAGAGUCAGGAGGCCCCGCCCACCUGUCAUUUACCUGAAUACCUGCAAGCAGGAAAGGAGGCGUAAACUCAUCCAGCACCAGAGCAGGCAGCUGGGAGGUAUCCCAGGACUGUUAAACUCUCUGGCAUCUUCCCAGGAGGGCUGUAAACAUCUCCCAUCAUCCCAUUGAAACGCUGCGUAUUUUUACCACCUGCAUCCAGCAUCCCUGGAACUCAUUACCUGAGGAAACUGUGGAUUCCCCGUCCCGGAAGAUGGCCUGCCUGCCCAGAGAGAAUUUUUUUUCCCCUUCAGGAAAAUAAAUGUUGACAUUCCUAUUUUCCUCCUACUUUUGCCUCCCUCGUCUUCUUCUUUCCCUCCUCCUGAUUUUGGGAAUGCUUUUGUUCCACCGGUUUUAAUAUUGGACUACCUAGAGGUUUUGGGGUUUGGUUUGGGGGAGGGUGGAGGAAGAAGGAAAAAUGGGAGAGGGAAGAAAAGGAAGUCCGGAUUCCCACAGCCUGGGCCUCAGCUGGCUGCAGUCAGUCAAUAGCUCGCAAAGCAAGGGGGAGGAGAAGGAAGAGAAAUUGUAGUCGAGGGCGGGGUCUGGGGGCCGGCUCUGGUGCUCGACCUCAGGGGAGCUGGCUCCUGUCCCCGAUCCGCCCCAGACAGGUCUAAGCUACCUCUUUGCACCUGGGAACUCUGUGCCUUUUGAGAGUUGAAGGCUUAAAACAACAACAACCACCACAACAAAACUAUUCACCUUUUUAUCCAAUAGAAACUAAGAUCCCCCCAUGAAGCUUGGCGUUCUCAAGGACUCCUCCUGGCAAUGAACCUACAGCGAAGACCAUGCCUUGUGAUUCAGCAGAAUUACUUUGCCCAUUUUGCUUCCUAUUUUUUUUUCCCAUGACAUAUUUCUAGAGUUGUCUAUGAUGAUUGAAUG
Molecule: long non-coding RNA, 959 nt
Filed under: Homo sapiens (human)
Lineage: Eukaryota; Metazoa; Chordata; Mammalia; Primates; Hominidae
Description: HSALNT0072279
Source: RNAcentral